This 72-nucleotide transfer RNA is filed under the name Cyrtodactylus jellesmae. RNAcentral's name for it is "tRNA-Asn". Lineage: Eukaryota; Metazoa; Chordata; Lepidosauria; Squamata; Gekkonidae. The record is from RNAcentral.
AGGCUAAAGUCCGCUGGCUUGGAUGUCUAGUUGUUAACUAGAAUUUUACGGGAUCGAGGCCCGUUAGUUUAU